RNAcentral lists this ribosomal RNA (497 nucleotides) under uncultured bacterium. Its description in RNAcentral is "partial 16S ribosomal RNA". It matches the Rfam family "Bacterial small subunit ribosomal RNA", at positions 28 to 507 of the family's 1533-position model. The record is from RNAcentral.
GAUGAACGCUGGCGGCGUGCCUAAUACAUGCAAGUCGAGCGAGCGGACGAGAAGCUUGCUUUUCUGAUGUUAGCGGCGGACGGGUGAGUAACACGUGGAUAACCUACCUAUAAGACUGGGAUAACUUCGGGAAACCGGAGCUAAUACCGGAUAAUAUUUUGAACCGCAUGGUUCAAAAGUGAAAGACGGUCUUGCUGUCACUUAUAGAUGGAUCCGCGCUGCAUUAGCUAGUUGGUAAGGUAACGGCUUGCCAAGGCAACGAUGCAUAGCCGACCUGAGAGGGUGAUCGGCCACACUGGAACUGAGACACGGUCCAGACUCCUACGGGAGGCAGCAGUAGGGAAUCUUCCGCAAUGGGCGAAAGCCUGACGGAGCAACGCCGCGUGAGUGAUGAAGGUCUUCGGAUCGUAAAACUCUGUUAUUGGGGAAGAACAUAUGUGUAAGUAACUGUGCACAUCUUGACGGUACCUAAUCAGAAAGCCACGGCUAACUACGUG